Molecule: ribosomal RNA, 808 nt
Filed under: uncultured Planctomycetota bacterium
Lineage: Bacteria; Pseudomonadati; Planctomycetota
Description: bacterial SSU rRNA
Rfam family: Bacterial small subunit ribosomal RNA
Source: RNAcentral
GGAUUAGGCAUGCAAGUCGCACGAGAAAGGUUUCUUCGGAAGCCGAGUACAGUGGCGAACGGGUGAGUAAUGCAUAGACAACUCACCCUUGAGAUGGGGACAACGCCUCGAAAGGGGUGCUAAUACCCAAUGCCGCCUUGGGCCUGCGGGUCCAGGGUGAAAGGAGGCCUCUGAUUCAAGCUUCCGCUCAAGGAGAGGUUUAUGUCCUAUUAGCUAGUUGGCGGGGUAACGGCCCACCAAGGCUGCGAUGGGUAGCCGACCUGAGAGGGUGACCGGCCACAUUGGGACUGAGACACUGCCCAGACUCCUACGGGAGGCUGCAGUCGAGAAUCUUCCGCAAUGCGCGCAAGCGUGACGGAGCGACGCCGCGUGGGUGAUGAAGGCCUUCGGGUUGUAAAACCCUGUCAGCUACUACGAAACACGGGCGAUGAACAAUCGUCCCGUCUGACUUAAGUAGCAGAGGAAGCACCGGCUAACUACGUGCCAGCAGCCGCGGUAAUACGUAGGGUGCAAACGUUGUUCGGAAUCACUGGGCAUAAAGGGCGCGUAGGCGGUCUGAUAAGUCAGGUGUGAAAUCCCUCGGCCUAACCGAGGAACUGCAUUUGAUACUGUCGGGCUAGAGUACAGGAGGGGAGAGUGGAAUUCCUGGUGGAGCGGUGAAAUGCGUAGAUAUCAGGAGGAACGCCGGCGGCGAAAGCGACUCUCUGGCCUGUUACUGACGCUGAGGCGCGAAAGCUAGGGGAGCAAACGGGAUUAGAUACCCCGGUAGUCCUAGCCCUAAACGAUGGGCACUAAGUAGAGGGGUUUU